AACGAACGCUGGCGGCAUGCCUAACACAUGCAAGUCGAACGAGACCUUCGGGUCUAGUGGCGCACGGGUGCGUAACGCGUGGGAACCUGCCCUUAGGUUCGGAAUAACUCCCCGAAAGGGGUGCUAAUACCGGAUAAUGUCUUCGGACCAAAGAUUUAUCGCCUUUGGAUGGGCCCGCGUUGGAUUAGCUAGUUGGUAGGGUAAAAGCCUACCAAGGCGACGAUCCAUAGCUGGUCUGAGAGGAUGAUCAGCCACACUGGGACUGAGACACGGCCCAGACUCCUACGGGAGGCAGCAGUGGGGAAUAUUGGACAAUGGGCGAAAGCCUGAUCCAGCAAUGCCGCGUGAGUAAUGAAGGCCUUAGGGUUGUAAAGCUCUUUUACCCGGGAUGAUAAUGACAGUACCGGGAGAAUAAGCGCCGGCUAACUCCGUG
Molecule: ribosomal RNA, 433 nt
Filed under: uncultured bacterium
Lineage: Bacteria
Description: partial 16S ribosomal RNA
Rfam family: Bacterial small subunit ribosomal RNA
Source: RNAcentral